CCUACGGGGAGCAGCAGUGGGGAAUAUUGCACAAUGGGGGAAACCCUGAUGCAGCAACGCCGCGUGAGUGAAGAAGUAUUUCGGUAUGUAAAGCUCUAUCAGCAGGGAAGAAAAUGACGGUACCUGAGUAAGAAGCCCCGGCUAACUACGUGCCAGCAGCCGCGGUAAUACGUAGGGGGCAAGCGUUAUCCGGAUUUACUGGGUGUAAAGGGAGCGUAGACGGCGAUACAAGUCUGAAGUGAAAGCCCGGGGCUCAACCCCGGGACUGCUUUGGAAACUGUGUUGCUGGAGUGCUGGAGAGGCAAGCGGAAUUUCUAGUGUAGCGGUGAAAUGCGGAGAUAUUAGGAAGAACGCCAGUGGCGAAGGCGGCUUGCUGGACAGUAACUGACGUUGAGGCUCGAAAGCGUGGGGAGCAAACAGGAUUAGAUACCCGGGUAGUC
RNAcentral lists this ribosomal RNA (440 nucleotides) under uncultured bacterium. RNAcentral describes it as "partial 16S ribosomal RNA". It matches the Rfam family "Bacterial small subunit ribosomal RNA", at positions 338 to 795 of the family's 1533-position model. The record is from RNAcentral.